RNA transcript from Daphnia magna, 1761 nucleotides. RefSeq lists it as uncharacterized. The transcript is spliced from 4 exons. The record is from RefSeq and is a predicted model, not a curated record. NCBI's taxonomy places the organism in Eukaryota, Metazoa, Arthropoda, Branchiopoda, Diplostraca, Daphniidae.
CUCUGAUUGGAAUGGUUGUUGGAAUUUUGAAGACAAAGAUUUGAAAAACAUAACUACGGUAUCUAGGCUACUUGACAAUUGAACCGGUAGAGUACGGUGUUGACGUGUUAGUUGUUUUGACCGACAGUAGAAGGUAUCAAGCAGCAAAGUUGUGGUUUUGGGCAUUCCUCAUUCGUGUUCCUGCCCCUCUCAGUAUUUCUUUUAUACGUUGUUCAAUCUCGUUUAUUGUUACACUUUUUACUCAGUAUUUUUUAUUGCAAACAAAGUACCUCGUGCAUAACAACUAUGACACAGUCAAACAGCAACAACGUUGUGUAUUUACAGACUGCAUUACGAAACUUGGAGGAACGAUACAAGAAACUUCAAAAUCGAGUCGAGUCAUUACAAAUGGAAAAUGAAAGGCUGGUUACAAGCCGAACAGAGCUUGUGGUUGAAGUUGAACGCUUGCAGGACCAGCAAAUCCGUUUACGAGAACGGAAUUUAAGACUCACACAGGAGUUCCAUUCUAAGCAGCAAGAAUGCUCCCUCCUGGCUGAAAAAUUGACUAUAUUUGCUCGUGGCCGAGUUGGCAAUGCAUAUAAGACAGAUUCUGAAAGUUUCAAGUCAGAUCUGACAGAAGUCAAAGAAGAUCUUGAAGGAUCACAUGACAGCCUUGUUACAGUUGAGCUUUAUGGUGGUUCUGAUACAAGACCGAAAACACUUGAUGUCACAAGUCGCACAUAUUCUGAACCUAAUCUGAGUGCUAUUCAAAGAGAAUUGGAUUUGGUACGGAAAGGUCUUUGGUCCCCUGCUUUGGAAAACGCAAAAGGGACAGUUGUCGAAGAGUUGUCAUCAAAAAUAUUGCUCAGUCUAAAGAAAGGGCAGGGUGAGCUUGAAGAGCAGUGCUCAAGGAUGAUGGAAUUCCAACGUAACUCGAUGGAAGCAGUUCAAGGAUUAUCCAUUCUGUCAGAUGAAAAUGAUGAAACAGAUCCAAUGGAGUAUGUUCAACAGUGUACACAAACUGCACUUACUCUCAAAGAAAAAUUACAAAAUGAAAACUUGAAAUUACGUCAUCUGCAUCAAAUAUUAAGAAUGAACGCAGCAAAUGAAGCGGCAGCUGCGAGUGUUGUAACUCAAACAAGUUUCGACAUGCAUGCACCCGAUUUGGGCAGUUCGUCAGUGUGGAAAAACAUGAACCUACAAGACCGCAUUUGUCCUCUUUGUGAAAACAUGUUUUCGACGGUUAUAUCCCAAGACGAAUUUGUUGAUCACGUAAUGUCGCAUUUUGAAGGUGACGGUCAUAUGCCUGAGUUCGAAAUCUUGAGUCUUAAUACCUGAUUCCUAUGACUUCUGUGAUAUUCUGAAAUGUUCCAGAAACUUAAAAAACGAUUGAAUUCAACGGGUCUUUUGCCAUUUGCAAUAGCCUUAUUCUACUCAGAAUCCAUCUUCUGUCAUUAUAUACUUCGAACAGAACAAUUAUUUUUCACUAUCGUGGUUGACCCUUCGGUGCUUUUGUUUGUCGCUUCCAUAGGUUACGUGCGAAAGGAGUGUAGACCAUCAAGAAAAAAAAUACCGUUGAAAACGGGUCUUUUGCCAUUUGCAAUAGCCUUAUUCUACUCAGAAUCCAUCCUCUGUCAUUAUAUACUUCGAACAGAACAAUUAUUUUUCACUAUCGUGGUUGACCCUACGGGUAUUUUAUAGGAUUUGUUUUAAUGAGCAUAAUUCGGCCAAAACAUUUUUGGCUGGAUACAUUAUUAUCAUAUUAAACCAUUCGACGCGUAA